UACGUAGGGGACGAGCGUUGUCCGGAAUUACUGGGCGUAAAGCGUGCGCAGGCGGUUUGCUAAGACAGGUGUGAAAUCCCCGGGCUUAACCUGGGAACUGCGCUUGUGACUGGCAGGCUAGAGUACGGUAGAGGGGGUGGAAUUCCUGGUGUAGCAGUGAAAUGCGUAGAUAUCAGGAGGAACACCGAUGGCGAAGGCAGCCCCCUGGGCCUGUACUGACGCUCAUGCACGAAAGCGUGGGGAGCAAACAGGAUUAGAUACCCCUGUAGUCCCU
This 274-nucleotide ribosomal RNA is filed under the name uncultured prokaryote. RNAcentral's name for it is "partial 16S ribosomal RNA". It matches the Rfam family "Bacterial small subunit ribosomal RNA", at positions 524 to 798 of the family's 1533-position model. The record is from RNAcentral.